CUUGGCGACCAUAGCGUUAUGGACCCACCUGAUCCCAUGCCGAACUCAGAAGUGAAACGUAAUAGCGCCGAUGGUAGUGUGGGGUUUCCCCAUGUGAGAGUAGGACAUCGC
RNAcentral lists this ribosomal RNA (111 nucleotides) under Aliivibrio fischeri. The record is from RNAcentral. Lineage: Bacteria; Pseudomonadati; Pseudomonadota; Gammaproteobacteria; Vibrionales; Vibrionaceae.